This is a long non-coding RNA of Capsicum annuum, 896 nucleotides long. RefSeq lists it as uncharacterized. NCBI's taxonomy places the organism in Eukaryota, Viridiplantae, Streptophyta, Magnoliopsida, Solanales, Solanaceae. The transcript is spliced from 2 exons. The record is from RefSeq and is a predicted model, not a curated record.
CUACCACACGUUGAAAUUGGAAUGGUGGACCACAAUUGGUGCUGCCACUUGUUUUCUAACUUUAGAAUUUGAUUAGUAUAGUAUAGCUGGCAGCCAUAUUAUUAAUUAUCCUUAGUAAGAUUAAUGAUGGACAACUUUUUUUAAUAUUUAAAUGGUAAGAGAAUAUAUAUACAUAGGCCAAUGUAUGUAUUCAUUUACUGAUUCCUUUUAACAUUUAUGUUUCUUUACUUUCCUUCUUCUUUGCUAUUUCUUAUUCCUAUGUCUUUUUCUUCUACCUCAAUUCACUUUGAAUAUUUAUUGUUUUAGAAAUAACUUUGUUAUUUAUUUAUAAUUAUGAUAACGUUGAUUUCACUGCCACCGACUUUUGGUGUAAACCCUCACAAAUUCAACUUGAUAAAAUAGAAAUUAUGAAAGAUCUUGAGAUAUAAUUAGCAAAUUAGACCGUGUGAUUAUCAUAUUUAUGAUCAUGAAGGUGUCUAUUAUUGUUGAGGUUGUUCACGAUUCUGAGGGUUUCAUUAGCGACAAAGGAUUCAAGCUCGAUUUUAGUGGAGUAUUAUUUGGAGGCUUCGUGGAAACAUAUUAUAGCUUUGGCGUCCAGAUCCGAGCACUAUCAGUUGACGUUGAUGUGACUUCUACCUUUUAAUACUGAUUUAGAGCAGGGUGAGCUUGCUAUCGUCCGAGGCUGAUCCUCCUUCAUCUUCUCUAGUUAGUCUUUUGCACUCGAGACUACUUGUGUAUAUUAUGGACAUUUUAUAUUCUUAUCUAGUACUCUGGUUAUCUGUUAGUGGUGGCUCUAGUAUUGACCUUAUCAAGUCUUGGGAGAGAUUCAUUGUAUAGUUGGUCCUUUUUCCUGCUCUUAUUUUGAUAUACUAUAUAUGCUCCCUUUUUAGUUUUCA